Molecule: unclassified non-coding RNA, 327 nt
Filed under: uncultured fungus
Lineage: Eukaryota; Fungi
Description: sequence contains ITS1, 5.8S rRNA gene
Rfam family: 5.8S ribosomal RNA (bases 279-327)
Source: RNAcentral
UUUCCGUAGGUGAACCUGCGGAAGGAUCAUUACCGAGUUUUAUUGGAUCUUCGGAUCCUGACUCUCACACCAAUGAGGAUGAACCCUUUGUUGCUUCGGCAAGUCGAUUUGUUUUUUUUGGUUGUAAGAGACCUUAAAACGAACCACUGGUGAUUGACGAUGUUUUUUUUUGGUGUAAAACCAAAAGAAACUCUCGUCAAGAGCGGGUGUGUUGCUUGCCGAAGAUUUUUACACUUUGUUUUCAGUCAGUCUUUUAUUGAAACUAAAAAAUCAAUUAAAACUUUCAACAACGGAUCUCUUGGUUCUGGCAUCGAUGAAGAACGCAGC